This 482-nucleotide ribosomal RNA is filed under the name uncultured bacterium. Its description in RNAcentral is "partial 16S ribosomal RNA". It matches the Rfam family "Bacterial small subunit ribosomal RNA", at positions 30 to 507 of the family's 1533-position model. The record is from RNAcentral.
AUUGAACGCUGGCGGCAUGCCUUACACAUGCAAGUCGAACGGUAACAGGUCUUCGGAUGCUGACGAGUGGCGAACGGGUGAGUAAUACAUCGGAACGUGCCCAGACGUGGGGGAUAACGAGGCGAAAGCUUUGCUAAUACCGCAUACGAUCUAAGGAUGAAAGCAGGGGACCGCAAGGCCUUGCGCGUUUGGAGCGGCCGAUGGCAGAUUAGGUAGUUGGUGGGAUAAAAGCUUACCAAGCCGACGAUCUGUAGCUGGUCUGAGAGGACGACCAGCCACACUGGGACUGAGACACGUCCCAGACUCCUACGGGAGGCAGCAGUGGGGAAUUUUGGACAAUGGGCGAAAGCCUGAUCCAGCAAUGCCGCGUGCAGGAUGAAGGCCUUCGGGUUGUAAACUGCUUUUGUACGGAACGAAAAGGCUCUGGCUAAUACCUGGGGCACAUGACGGUACCGUAAGAAUAAGCACCGGCUAACUACGUG